UAAAAUUAUUUGGAAAUUGUAUUACCCUAACUAAAACUAAGUGAAAACAGAUAAAAUUGUGAGCGCAUUGAUUAAAUUGUGAAUUGAACUUAUGAAUUAAAGUACGGUUGGAACUUACGAACUAAACGUUACGCUGCUGCCUAAGAGUGCUAGUAGUAUCGCCACUACCGAUUGGCUUGAUAUAGGUACACGAAAGGACACUAAACGAAUUUUUUAACGCCAAUUUGGUACGAUACAUUACGUACGCUAAUUUGAAUUGCGUUACCGUAUACUAGAGUAACCUAAAUAAAACGUUAUUGAAUCGGAAACUGUCUUUCUCGUUGCAUUUGCGACAUUUUAAAAAAUUCGUUUAUUACGCGAUCGGGGAGGCUUGAAUUAUGCCGCCGAAGGCAAAGCCGAAUGUCAGUUGUGGUGGGUGCCAGAAUCCGGACAACAACCGGAUGGUUUGCUGCGACGAUUGUGAAUUAUGGUUUCAUUUCGAGUGUGUGGGCGUGAAUGAGGAUAUCGAGGAGGAGGAUUGGAGUUGUGCGGUGUGCGUGGCUAAACGAGCAGCUCAGAACCCAUCGGUCAUCAUCACAGAUUCUGCACGGAAUAAAACGGAUCCAAAGUCGACAGGUGAACAGGAGCAAACUAAACAA
This is a long non-coding RNA of Wyeomyia smithii (pitcher-plant mosquito), 638 nucleotides long. RefSeq lists it as uncharacterized. The transcript is spliced from 3 exons. The record is from RefSeq and is a predicted model, not a curated record. NCBI's taxonomy places the organism in Eukaryota, Metazoa, Arthropoda, Insecta, Diptera, Culicidae.